UACGUAGGGGGCAAGCGUUGUCCGGAAUUACUGGGCGUAAAGGGAGCGUAGGCGGUCUUUUAAGUUAGAUGUGAAAUACCCGGGCUCAACUUGGGAGGUGCAUCUAAAACUGGAGGACUUGAGUGCAGGAGAGGAAAGUGGAAUUCCUAGUGUAGCGGUGAAAUGCGUAGAUAUUAGGAGGAACACCAGUGGCGAAGGCGACUUUCUGGACUGUAACUGACGCUGAGGCUCGAAAGCGUGGGGAGCAAACAGG
RNAcentral lists this ribosomal RNA (253 nucleotides) under Eubacteriales bacterium. RNAcentral's name for it is "partial 16S ribosomal RNA". It matches the Rfam family "Bacterial small subunit ribosomal RNA", at positions 524 to 776 of the family's 1533-position model. Lineage: Bacteria; Bacillati; Bacillota; Clostridia; Eubacteriales. RNAcentral also lists the same sequence under 2 other names. The record is from RNAcentral.